This 270-nucleotide ribosomal RNA is filed under the name uncultured archaeon. RNAcentral's name for it is "partial 16S ribosomal RNA". It matches the Rfam family "Archaeal small subunit ribosomal RNA", at positions 477 to 747 of the family's 1478-position model. The record is from RNAcentral.
CUGCAGCUCAAGUGGUGGCCGCUAUUAUUGGGCCUAAAACGUCCGUAGCCGGUUUAGUAAAUGCCUGGGUAAAUCGUGUAGCUUAACUAUACGACUUCCGGGUAGACUGCUAGACUUGGGACCGGGAGAGGCUAGAGGUACUCCUGGGGUAGAGGUGAAAUUCUGUAAUCCUAGGGGGACCACCAGUGGCGAAGGCGUCUAGCUAGAACGGGUCUGACGGUGAGGGACGAAGCCCUGGGGCGCAAACCGGAUUAGAUACCCGAGUAGUCC